CCUACGGGGGGCUGCAGUGGGGAAUAUUGCACAAUGGGCGCAAGCCUGAUGCAGCCAUGCCGCGUGUGUGAAGAAGGCCUUCGGGUUGUAAAGCACUUUCAGCGGGGAGGAAGGCGGUGAGGUUAAUAACCUCAUCGAUUGACGUUACCCGCAGAAGAAGCACCGGCUAACUCCGUGCCAGCAGCCGCGGUAAUACGGAGGGUGCAAGCGUUAAUCGGAAUUACUGGGCGUAAAGCGCACGCAGGCGGUCUGUCAAGUCGGAUGUGAAAUCCCCGGGCUCAACCUGGGAACUGCAUUCGAAACUGGCAGGCUAGAGUCUUGUAGAGGGGGGUAGAAUUCCAGGUGUAGCGGUGGAAUGCGUAGAGAUCUGGAGGAAUACCGGUGGCGAAGGCGGCCCCCUGGACAAAGACUGACGCUCAGGUGCGAAAGCGUGGGGAGCAAACAGGAUUAGAUACCCGAGUAGUC
This 465-nucleotide ribosomal RNA is filed under the name uncultured Klebsiella sp. Its description in RNAcentral is "bacterial SSU rRNA". It matches the Rfam family "Bacterial small subunit ribosomal RNA", at positions 338 to 795 of the family's 1533-position model. Lineage: Bacteria; Pseudomonadati; Pseudomonadota; Gammaproteobacteria; Enterobacterales; Enterobacteriaceae. The record is from RNAcentral.